RNAcentral lists this ribosomal RNA (253 nucleotides) under uncultured bacterium. RNAcentral describes it as "partial 16S ribosomal RNA". It matches the Rfam family "Bacterial small subunit ribosomal RNA", at positions 524 to 776 of the family's 1533-position model. The record is from RNAcentral.
GACGUAGGGCGCGAGCGUUGUCCGGAUUUAUUGGGCGUAAAGAGCUCGUAGGCGGCUUGUCGCGUCGUCCGUGAAAACUCGCAGCUCAACUGCGAGCCUGCGGUCGAUACGGGCAGGCUAGAGUUCGGUAGGGGAGACUGGAAUUCCUGGUGUAGCGGUGAAAUGCGCAGAUAUCAUUUGGAACGCCAAUGGUGAAAACAGGUAGCUGGGAGUGUGCUGACGCUGAGACACGAAAGCCAGGGGAGCGAACGGG